GCGGNGGGUAACGGCCCACCGGGGCGACGAUCAGUAGGGGUUCUGAGAGGAAGGUCCCCCACAUUGGAACUGAGACACGGUCCAAACUCCUACGGGAGGCAGCAG
RNAcentral lists this ribosomal RNA (105 nucleotides) under uncultured bacterium. Its description in RNAcentral is "partial 16S ribosomal RNA". It matches the Rfam family "Bacterial small subunit ribosomal RNA", at positions 249 to 354 of the family's 1533-position model. The record is from RNAcentral.